UCCCUGGUGGCUCAGACGGUAAAGCGUCUGCCUGCAAUGCGGGAGACCUGGGUUUGAUCCCUGGGUCGGGAA
RNAcentral lists this transfer RNA (72 nucleotides) under Capra hircus (goat). It matches the Rfam family "tRNA". From Rfam's summary of the family: Transfer RNA (tRNA) molecules are approximately 80 nucleotides in length. Their secondary structure includes four short double-helical elements and three loops (D, anti-codon, and T loops). The record is from Rfam by way of RNAcentral. RNAcentral also lists the same sequence under 1 other name. Lineage: Eukaryota; Metazoa; Chordata; Mammalia; Artiodactyla; Bovidae.